This 74-nucleotide transfer RNA is filed under the name Candidatus Amphrikana amoebophyrae. RNAcentral describes it as "tRNA-Met". It matches the Rfam family "tRNA". From Rfam's summary of the family: Transfer RNA (tRNA) molecules are approximately 80 nucleotides in length. Their secondary structure includes four short double-helical elements and three loops (D, anti-codon, and T loops). The record is from RNAcentral. Lineage: Bacteria; Pseudomonadati; Chlamydiota; Chlamydiia; Parachlamydiales; Simkaniaceae.
GGCGGCUUAGCUCAGUUGGUUAGAGCGUUGGAAUCAUAAUCCAAAUGUCACUGGUUCGAGUCCGGUAGCCGCUA